UUUUUUUUUGGUGUCACAUCUUGUUUUAUUUUAUGUGUUUAAUGUUACUCUCAUUCGCUCCAUUCUUUUUGCCAUCACCUUUUGUCAUUAUUCUAUUUCAACUUUAGGCUGACUUGAGUUUUACUCUUUUUAAAUGUAUAUUGUCACUACUUGUUUGAAGAAGUGUCGCACACCACUCUAACAUUCACAUGAAAAUUAUGUGCUAACGGAAGUCAAAUGUGGUUGUGUUUUGCAUCUCGUUUUAUUUCAUGUAUUUGAUGUUACACCCUCCAGCUCGAAUCUUCUCGUAAAUGCG
RNAcentral lists this unclassified non-coding RNA (295 nucleotides) under Hevea brasiliensis (rubber tree). The record is from RNAcentral. Lineage: Eukaryota; Viridiplantae; Streptophyta; Magnoliopsida; Malpighiales; Euphorbiaceae.